GACGAACGCUGGCGGCGUGCUUAACACAUGCAAGUCGAACGGAAAGGCCCUGCUUUUGUGGGGUGCUCGAGUGGCGAACGGGUGAGUAACACGUGAGUAACCUGCCCUUGACUUUGGGAUAACUUCAGGAAACUGGGGCUAAUACCGGAUAGGAGCUCCUGCUGCAUGGUGGGGGUUGGAAAGUUUCGGCGGUUGGGGAUGGACUCGCGGCUUAUCAGCUUGUUGGUGGGGUAGUGGCUUACCAGGGCUUUGACGGGUAGCCGGCCUGAGAGGGUGACCGGCCACAUUGGGACUGAGGUACGGCCCAGACUCCUACGGGAGGCAGCAGUGGGGAAUAUUGCACAAUGGGCGGAAGCCUGAUGCAGCAACGCCGCGUGCGGGAUGACGGCCUUCGGGUUAUAAACCGCUUUCGCCUGUGACGAAGCGUGAGUGACGGUAAUGGGUAAAGAAGCACCGGCUAACUACGUG
This 468-nucleotide ribosomal RNA is filed under the name uncultured bacterium. Its description in RNAcentral is "partial 16S ribosomal RNA". It matches the Rfam family "Bacterial small subunit ribosomal RNA", at positions 28 to 507 of the family's 1533-position model. The record is from RNAcentral.